AUUAGGCUGUCUUUAUAACUCUCAGCUCCUUCUUCCAGGACGCGAAUAAUUUGUGUUUCUUUUUUAGCUGUCAUAACAAUGGAAAGCUUUGCAAUCAGAUGGAUUGCAACAUGGUCUAUCCAAUUCAGCUUAACAAUUUUUCAAUCUUAUUUCAUUUCAUCUUCCAAGGAUCUGGAUGCUGACACAGCUAUAGAAGAGUAUGAAGGAAAACAUUUGAAGAAGAUGCUUUCCCCCAAGGCUUACCAUUACAGAAGAGCGAUGAAGUAAAAAGAUCUUCAUCCCUGGACAAUCUAAUGCAAACGCACCAUCUUCUGUUCUCAGUUCACGAGGAGGUCUGUGAGCGAUGCCCUGGAAAGGGAUGGCUCUCUGCCACCCUCCAUUCCUGUUCAGUCAGACAGGACUCUGUCACCUAUAUCCUGCCAGCGAAUGCUGCACUCUCUGUGUCCCAAGCCUGGUGCAGACUUUAAACCUGAGGCCUCAUUUCCACAGCAGCUCAUGUCUAUGAAUCAACUGUGAUGUCCAUUCUCAUGCUUGGAUGGCUCCAAGCAUCCCUUUUGGCCCCUCUAUUCCUAAUAAUUUAAAACCAUCCUUCUAAUAUCAAAAGUAUGUGGUUGCAGAUCUUUCCCUGCAGGGCCUGCUUCACAAAACAGCUGCCCACUGAAAAGAAAUGCACAGCUCCAAGAGGUGAGGUAUUCCAUGGUGUCCCUCAGGAAGCAAAUCUGUGGGUCUCUGUGAGUGUCAGACACUGCCUCUGUGAACUUGUGUGUCCCUGAGUAAUAACGCUCAUUUUCCCCACUCAAAUUCUGAACCAAGUAAGAGAUUCAUUCCAGGCUUUGGGGAAGGAGAAAUGAUGGCCUCUCUGAUAUUGAAGUGCUGUGUGAUAUAGACUCGUGCGCUUAGGCUAGGGCUGGACAGGACCUCCUGGGUUUCCUGGUGCCUGAAUUAUAGAGCUUGUAGUGUAGAAUAACAGAGCAGAUACCUGUGGGCUUCUCAAGCCCAAAAAGAAAGAAAAAGCUGGUCUUUGUAUUUCCAGGUCUUCAUGCAAGUAUCAGCCACAGGCUUAGUGGGGGAUCAGAAAGUAGCCAUGGGCCAUGCUGAUGCAGCUGCCUCCGUUGGAAAGAAAUCCCCAGGAAUGAGGGACACCUUCUAGUAGCUUAUGAUCGCUUUCCCCAACCUCAGCAUCACUAACAAUUUGGACUAGAUACCACUGCAUUGUGUGGACUGUCCUGCCCCUCUUAGGAUUUUCAGCAGCAGCCUUGGUUUCCAUCCACUAGAUAUUUGGAGCUCGUGUUCCCAAAUUGUAACAAGCAAAAAUGUCUCCAUAUGUCCAGACGCCCCCUUGUGGAUGGGGGUAAACUUGCUGCAGGCUGGUAACUAGUCUAGAUUUUAGUUAUAUUUGCCAUAAUAUGGUUCAUUUUGAAUGCUUCUAUUGAGUACUUACUAUAAGCCAGGCUUACCUUAAACAGCUCCUCUGGGCGACUCACAGAGGUCUAAGGAGAUAGUUGGUUGUCUAACCCUUCCCCAGCAAUGGCCUGAAUCAGAAAACCAGUUUGACCAAGUGGACUUAGGUCUGCCAUUCCUUUCGUGGUAAGCUGCCUCUUAGAAACAGACAUUUCUCUACAGGUCUUUCAGUUUCUGUUUUGAGAAUGGCUACUGCACCCAGCCCUGACCUUCGGAACAUGUGCCUGUGGCCCAUGAAAUUUGUUUUUUCUUUGAGUAAUGGGGCUUUUCAACCUCAUCUCCAUGGCAUCUGUGAAAUCAAAGGCAUUUGUUUCACAACAAAUAUUAAAGCCUGAACAGCUUAAUCUUGACAGAAGGCAGAAUCUCUAUGGAAAAUACAGGGUUUAAAUAAAAAUAACUCACUAAUGCCCAUAUCCAGGGUUUCUGAAUUUUAUAAACCAAAUAUAUUGAGCCAUAUGAUUGUUAUACUUAGGAUAUCAUGUCAAAUAGUUAUUUUCAAAGAAGUAAUGUUUCAUUUCCACUAUUUAAAUUUCAUGGUGAGGUAGUGGUGGCCUAAAUGUAGCAACCUCACUGGGAAACAUUUUUUGUAAGAUCUUUUCCACAGAGGUGUCAGAUAUACGGGACACAAAUGAUUGUGAGAUUUGGGGCUAACUUUUAAAAAAUGACUUUAGUGGAAUAGGAAGGAAAAGAGUAUCUUUUUAUAAAAGUAGCUCACAUUUUCUAGGACACAGAGCAUUUUUAUGAAAGAUUCCCUUUAAGGCUCCUACUUUUUAGUGUGUAGAAGCAUCACCAGGAAAAAUGAGAGACUCUUGCUUGUAAUGGUUAUUGAAUUAGGGAGGGGACAGGGUAAGAAACUCAACAGGACCAAGGAUAUCUUAGUUCUAGAUACUUUUAUCUGUGAGAUGAUUUUCUUUUGUCACUGCCCUCUUAUUUUAUGAAGACUUUAAAAUGAGACUCUCUCUCUGACUCUGAGUUUCCUUAUUCUGGAAUAAAGAAUUUAGGCAAGACAAACUCACAAGAGUGCUCUCACCACUCUUUAUGUGUGUUGUGUGAUAUUUACAAUCACCCCAUGGAGAAUAACAUAUGCACACACACAUGGGCAUACACAUGCUGAGCACACCUAUACAUACAGGC
Molecule: long non-coding RNA, 2595 nt
Filed under: Fukomys damarensis (Damara mole-rat)
Lineage: Eukaryota; Metazoa; Chordata; Mammalia; Rodentia; Bathyergidae
Description: lncRNA (ENSFDAG00000032822.1)
Source: RNAcentral